GCGACGUGCUAUACAUGCAGUCGAGCGGACAGAUGGGAGCUUGCUCCCUGAUGUUAGCGGCGGACGGGUGAGUAACACGUGGGUAACCUGCCUGUAAGACUGGGAUAACUCCGGGAAACCGGGGCUAAUACCGGAUGGUUGUUUGAACCGCAUGGUUCAGACAUAAAAGGUGGCUUCGGCUACCACUUACAGAUGGACCCGCGGCGCAUUAGCUAGUUGGUGAGGUAACGGCUCACCAAGGCGACGAUGCGUAGCCGACCUGAGAGGGUGAUCGGCCACACUGGGACUGAGACACGGCCCAGACUCCUACGGGAGGCAGCAGUAGGGAAUCUUCCGCAAUGGACGAAAGUCUGACGGAGCAACGCCGCGUGAGUGAUGAAGGUUUUCGGAUCGUAAAGCUCUGUUGUUAGGGAAGAACAAGUGCCGUUCAAAUAGGGCGGCACCUUGACGGUACCUAACCAGAAAGCCACGGCUAACUACGUGCCAGCAGCCGCGGUAAUACGUAGGUGGCAAGCGUUGUCCGGAAUUAUUGGGCGUAAAGGGCUCGCAGGCGGUUUCUUAAGUCUGAUGUGAAAGCCCCCGGCUCAACCGGGGAGGGUCAUUGGAAACUGGGGAACUUGAGUGCAGAAGAGGAGAGUGGAAUUCCACGUGUAGCGGUGAAAUGCGUAGAGAUGUGGAGGAACACCAGUGGCGAAGGCGACUCUCUGGUCUGUAACUGACGCUGAGGAGCGAAAGCGUGGGGAGCGAACAGGAUUAGAUACCCUGGUAGUCCACGCCGUAAACGAUGAGUGCUAAGUGUUAGGGGGUUUCCGCCCCUUAGUGCUGCAGCUAACGCAUUAAGCACUCCGCCUGGGGAGUACGGUCGCAAGACUGAAACUCAAAGGAAUUGACGGGGGCCCGCACAAGCGGUGGAGCAUGUGGUUUAAUUCGAAGCAACGCGAAGAACCUUACCAGGUCUUGACAUCCUCUGACAAUCCUAGAGAUAGGACGUCCCCUUCGGGGGCAGAGUGACAGGUGGUGCAUGGUUGUCGUCAGCUCGUGUCGUGAGAUGUUGGGUUAAGUCCCGCAACGAGCGCAACCCUUGAUCUUAGUUGCCAGCAUUCAGUUGGGCACUCUAAGGUGACUGCCGGUGACAAACCGGAGGAAGGUGGGGAUGACGUCAAAUCAUCAUGCCCCUUAUGACCUGGGCUACACACGUGCUACAAUGGACAGAACAAAGGGCAGCGAAACCGCGAGGUUAAGCCAAUCCCACAAAUCUGUUCUCAGUUCGGAUCGCAGUCUGCAACUCGACUGCGUGAAGCUGGAAUCGCUAGUAAUCGCGGAUCAGCAUG
RNAcentral lists this ribosomal RNA (1331 nucleotides) under Bacillus velezensis. RNAcentral describes it as "bacterial SSU rRNA". It matches the Rfam family "Bacterial small subunit ribosomal RNA", at positions 39 to 1356 of the family's 1533-position model. The record is from RNAcentral. Lineage: Bacteria; Bacillati; Bacillota; Bacilli; Caryophanales; Bacillaceae.